GUGCUCAAUUCAGCAGCACAUAUACUAAAAUUGGAACAAUGCAGAGAACAGUAGCAAUAGCCCCUGUGCAAGGAUGGCAUGAAAAUUCGUGAAGCAUUCCAUAUUAAA
RNAcentral lists this small nuclear RNA (108 nucleotides) under Castor canadensis (American beaver). The record is from RNAcentral. Lineage: Eukaryota; Metazoa; Chordata; Mammalia; Rodentia; Castoridae.